AUGCUACACUCUACCGCAGCAUCAUCGGGAGCCUCAGGUACCUCAUGCCGACCGGACAUCAGGUUCGUUGUCGGGUACCUGAGUAGGUUCAUGGAAGCUCCGGCAAGUGAUCACCUGGCUGCCGUCAAGCACCUACUCCGGUACAUCGCGGGUACGCUCACGCAUGGAUGCGUGUAUCGUCGUGGCGACGGCGAGAGCUUGGUCGGGUACAGCGACUUUGACCACGCUAGUGAUGUGGACUCCCGGAAGAGCACCUCGGGCAUACUAUUCCUUCUCGGAAAUAGUCCCGUCAGCUGGCAAUCGGUGAGGCAGAAGGUUGUCGCUGUAUCUUUGUGCGAGGCAGUGUACAUCGCGGCAGCUACAGCGGCAUAUCAGGGGAUUUGGCUUGCUCGCCUUCUCGGUGAGAUGUUGAAUCAGGACACCGCCCCUGCGCUCAUCUUCAUCGUCAACAAGUCAGCGAUUUCCCUCUGCAAGAAUCCAGUGCUUCACGACCGUAGCAAGCACAUCGAUCUCCACUAUCACUUCAUACGUGACUGCGUCGAGAAAGGCACAAUGAUAGUGGAGUUCAUCCGGACUGGUGAGCAGAAGGCAGACAUCCUGACCAAGUCACUUGGUCGUGUCCGGUUCCAGGAGCUGCGCGACAAGGUCAGGAUCAUCAACACCAAGCUCCUUCGACAAGUUUGA
RNAcentral lists this ribosomal RNA (684 nucleotides) under Triticum aestivum (bread wheat). RNAcentral's name for it is "partial small subunit ribosomal RNA". The record is from RNAcentral. Lineage: Eukaryota; Viridiplantae; Streptophyta; Magnoliopsida; Poales; Poaceae.